UACGUAGGGGGCAAGCGUUGUCCGGAAUCAUUGGGCGUAAAGAGCGCGUAGGCGGCCCUGUAAGUCCGCUGUGAAAGUCAAGGGCUCAACCCUUGAAUGCCGGUGGAUACUGCAGGGCUAGAGUCCGGAAGAGGCGAGUGGAAUUCCUGGUGUAGCGGUGAAAUGCGCAGAUAUCAGGAGGAACACCGAUGGCGAAGGCAGCUCGCUGGGACGGUACUGACGCUGAGGAGCGAAAGCCAGGGGAGCAAACGGG
This 253-nucleotide ribosomal RNA is filed under the name uncultured bacterium. RNAcentral describes it as "partial 16S ribosomal RNA". It matches the Rfam family "Bacterial small subunit ribosomal RNA", at positions 524 to 776 of the family's 1533-position model. The record is from RNAcentral.